AACGUAGGAGGCAAGCGUUAUCCGGAUUUACUGGGCGUAAAGCGCGUGCAGGCGGUCUGCUAAGUCGUGCGUGAAAGCACUGGGCUUAACCCAGCGAGGUCGGGCGAGACUGGCAGACUAGAGGCAGACAGAGGCAAGUGGAAUUCCGGGUGUAGUGGUGAAAUGCGUAGAGAUCCGGAGGAAUACCAGUGGCGAAGGCGGCUUGCUGGGUCUGCACUGACGCUCAGACGCGAAAGCAUGGGGAGCGAACGGG
Molecule: ribosomal RNA, 253 nt
Filed under: uncultured bacterium
Lineage: Bacteria
Description: partial 16S ribosomal RNA
Rfam family: Bacterial small subunit ribosomal RNA
Source: RNAcentral